GUAUAAGCAAUUAUACCGUGAAACUGCGAAUGGCUCAUUAAAUCAGUUAUCGUUUAUUUGAUAAUACCUUACUACUUGGAUAACCGUGGUAAUUCUAGAGCUAAUACAUGCUGAAAAUCCCGACUUCGGAAGGGAUGUGUUUAUUAGAUAAAAAACCAAUGCCCUUCGGGGCUUUUUGGUGAUUCAUGAUAACUUUACGGAUCGCAUAGCCUUGCGCUGGCGACGGUUCAUUCAAAUUUCUGCCCUAUCAACUUUCGAUGGUAAGGUAUUGGCUUACCAUGGUUUCAACGGGUAACGGGGAAUUAGGGUUCGAUUCCGGAGAGGGAGCCUGAGAAACGGCUACCACAUCCAAGGAAGGCAGCAGGCGCGCAAAUUACCCAAUCCCGACACGGGGAGGUAGUGACAAUAAAUACUGAUACAGGGCUCUUUUGGGUCUUGUAAUUGGAAUGAGUACAAUUUAAACCUCUUAACGAGGAACAAUUGGAGGGCAAGUCUGGUGCCAGCAGCCGCGGUAAUUCCAGCUCCAAUAGCGUAUAUUAAAGUUGUUGCAGUUAAAAAGCUCGUAGUUGAAACUUGGGCCUGGCUGGCGGGUCCGCCUCACCGCGUGCACUCGUCCGGCCGGGCCUUCCUUCUGAAGAACCUCAUGCCCUUCACUGGGCGUGCUGGGGAAUCAGGACUUUUACUUUGAAAAAAUUAGAGUGUUCAAAGCAGGCCUUUGCUCGAAUACGUUAGCAUGGAAUAAUAAAAUAGGGCGUGCGUUUCUAUUUUGUUGGUUUCUAGAGACGCCGCAAUGAUUAACAGGAACAGUCGGGGGCAUCAGUAUUCAGUUGUCAGAGGUGAAAUUCUUGGAUUUACUGAAGACUAACUACUGCGAAAGCAUUUGCCAAGGAUGUUUUCAUUAAUCAGUGAACGAAAGUUAGGGGAUCGAAGACGAUCAGAUACCGUCGUAGUCUUAACCGUAAACUAUGCCGACUAGGGAUCGGGCGAUGUUCUUUUUCUGACUCGCUCGGCACCUUACGAGAAAUCAAAGU
RNAcentral lists this ribosomal RNA (1031 nucleotides) under Alternaria petroselini. RNAcentral's name for it is "SSU rRNA". It matches the Rfam family "Eukaryotic small subunit ribosomal RNA", at positions 63 to 1104 of the family's 1831-position model. Lineage: Eukaryota; Fungi; Ascomycota; Dothideomycetes; Pleosporales; Pleosporaceae. The record is from RNAcentral.